Molecule: ribosomal RNA, 2891 nt
Filed under: Klebsiella pneumoniae subsp. pneumoniae
Lineage: Bacteria; Pseudomonadati; Pseudomonadota; Gammaproteobacteria; Enterobacterales; Enterobacteriaceae
Description: bacterial LSU rRNA
Rfam family: Bacterial large subunit ribosomal RNA
Source: RNAcentral
ACUAAGCGUACACGGUGGAUGCCCUGGCAGUCAGAGGCGAUGAAGGACGUGCUAAUCUGCGAAAAGCGUCGGUAAGGUGAUAUGAACCGUUAUAACCGGCGAUGUCCGAAUGGGGAAACCCAGUGCAAUUCGUUGCACUAUCGUUAACUGAAUACAUAGGUUAACGAGGCGAACCGGGGGAACUGAAACAUCUAAGUACCCCGAGGAAAAGAAAUCAACCGAGAUUCCCCCAGUAGCGGCGAGCGAACGGGGAGCAGCCCAGAGUCUGAAUCAGCUUGUGUGUUAGUGGAACGGUCUGGAAAGUCCGACGGUACAGGGUGAUAGUCCCGUACACCAAAAUGCACAGGUUGUGAACUCGAAGAGUAGGGCGGGACACGUGGUAUCCUGUCUGAAUAUGGGGGGACCAUCCUCCAAGGCUAAAUACUCCUGACUGACCGAUAGUGAACCAGUACCGUGAGGGAAAGGCGAAAAGAACCCCGGCGAGGGGAGUGAAAAAGAACCUGAAACCGUGUACGUACAAGCAGUGGGAGCACCUUCGGGUGUGACUGCGUACCUUUUGUAUAAUGGGUCAGCGACUUAUAUUCUGUAGCAAGGUUAACCGUAUAGGGGAGCCGCAGGGAAACCGAGUCUUAACUGGGCGUUAAGUUGCAGGGUAUAGACCCGAAACCCGGUGAUCUAGCCAUGGGCAGGUUGAAGGUUGGGUAACACUAACUGGAGGACCGAACCGACUAAUGUUGAAAAAUUAGCGGAUGACUUGUGGCUGGGGGUGAAAGGCCAAUCAAACCGGGAGAUAGCUGGUUCUCCCCGAAAGCUAUUUAGGUAGCGCCUCGUGAAUUCAUCUUCGGGGGUAGAGCACUGUUUCGGCUAGGGGGUCAUCCCGACUUACCAACCCGAUGCAAACUACGAAUACCGAAGAAUGUUAUCACGGGAGACACACGGCGGGUGCUAACGUCCGUCGUGAAGAGGGAAACAACCCAGACCGCCAGCUAAGGUCCCAAAGUCAUGGUUAAGUGGGAAACGAUGUGGGAAGGCACAGACAGCCAGGAUGUUGGCUUAGAAGCAGCCAUCAUUUAAAGAAAGCGUAAUAGCUCACUGGUCGAGUCGGCCUGCGCGGAAGAUGUAACGGGGCUAAACCAUGCACCGAAGCUGCGGCAGCGACACUAUGUGUUGUUGGGUAGGGGAGCGUUCUGUAAGCCUGCGAAGGUGUGCUGUGAGGCAUGCUGGAGGUAUCAGAAGUGCGAAUGCUGACAUAAGUAACGAUAAAGCGGGUGAAAAGCCCGCUCGCCGGAAGACCAAGGGUUCCUGUCCAACGUUAAUCGGGGCAGGGUGAGUCGACCCCUAAGGCGAGGCCGAAAGGCGUAGUCGAUGGGAAACAGGUUAAUAUUCCUGUACUUGGUGUUACUGCGAAGGGGGGACGGAGAAGGCUAUGUUAGCCGGGCGACGGUUGUCCCGGUUUAAGCAUGUAGGCUGGUUAUCCAGGCAAAUCCGGAUAAUCAAGGCUGAGGUGUGAUGACGAGGCACUACGGUGCUGAAGUAACAAAUGCCCUGCUUCCAGGAAAAGCCUCUAAGCAUCAGGUAACAUCAAAUCGUACCCCAAACCGACACAGGUGGUCAGGUAGAGAAUACCAAGGCGCUUGAGAGAACUCGGGUGAAGGAACUAGGCAAAAUGGUGCCGUAACUUCGGGAGAAGGCACGCUGGUGUGUAGGUGAAGCCCCUGCGGGUGGAGCUGAGACCAGUCGAAGAUACCAGCUGGCUGCAACUGUUUAUUAAAAACACAGCACUGUGCAAACACGAAAGUGGACGUAUACGGUGUGACGCCUGCCCGGUGCCGGAAGGUUAAUUGAUGGGGUUAUCCGUAAGGAGAAGCUCUUGAUCGAAGCCCCGGUAAACGGCGGCCGUAACUAUAACGGUCCUAAGGUAGCGAAAUUCCUUGUCGGGUAAGUUCCGACCUGCACGAAUGGCGUAAUGAUGGCCAGGCUGUCUCCACCCGAGACUCAGUGAAAUUGAACUCGCUGUGAAGAUGCAGUGUACCCGCGGCAAGACGGAAAGACCCCGUGAACCUUUACUAUAGCUUGACACUGAACAUUGAGCCUUGAUGUGUAGGAUAGGUGGGAGGCUUUGAAGCGUGGACGCCAGUCUGCGUGGAGCCAACCUUGAAAUACCACCCUUUAAUGUUUGAUGUUCUAACGUUGGCCCCUUACCGGGGUUGCGGACAGUGUCUGGUGGGUAGUUUGACUGGGGCGGUCUCCUCCCAAAGCGUAACGGAGGAGCACGAAGGUUAGCUAAUCCUGGUCGGACAUCAGGAGGUUAGUGCAAUGGCAUAAGCUAGCUUGACUGCGAGCGUGACGGCGCGAGCAGGUGCGAAAGCAGGUCAUAGUGAUCCGGUGGUUCUGAAUGGAAGGGCCAUCGCUCAACGGAUAAAAGGUACUCCGGGGAUAACAGGCUGAUACCGCCCAAGAGUUCAUAUCGACGGCGGUGUUUGGCACCUCGAUGUCGGCUCAUCACAUCCUGGGGCUGAAGUAGGUCCCAAGGGUAUGGCUGUUCGCCAUUUAAAGUGGUACGCGAGCUGGGUUUAGAACGUCGUGAGACAGUUCGGUCCCUAUCUGCCGUGGGCGCUGGAGAAUUGAGGGGGGCUGCUCCUAGUACGAGAGGACCGGAGUGGACGCAUCACUGGUGUUCGGGUUGUCAUGCCAAUGGCACUGCCCGGUAGCUAAAUGCGGAAGAGAUAAGUGCUGAAAGCAUCUAAGCACGAAACUUGCCCCGAGAUGAGUUCUCCCUGAGACUUUAAGUCUCCUGAAGGAACGUUGAAGACGACGACGUUGAUAGGCCGGGUGUGUAAGCGCAGCGAUGCGUUGAGCUAACCGGUACUAAUGAACCGUGAGGCUUAACC